AAUCCCUAGCUCUGCGCGGGCGCAAUUAUGUGCGGCGAGGUAGUCUUUUGGAGAGUCGUGGGCUGCAGAGUGUUGGGCAAAGCGGUGGGCUGCAGAGUGGUGGGCAGAGUGGUGGGCUAGAGAGAGGGGAACCAUGGUUAAUGCCAUGAAAAUUAGGGCUAUUACUGCUAACUUGUUGAACCCCAUUUUCUAGUUGUCUAUAUUAAGCAAUGUAGAGGCAGAAAAU
This 226-nucleotide long non-coding RNA is filed under the name Jatropha curcas. RNAcentral's name for it is "long non-coding RNA (JCUR_LNC003173)". The record is from RNAcentral. Lineage: Eukaryota; Viridiplantae; Streptophyta; Magnoliopsida; Malpighiales; Euphorbiaceae.